RNAcentral lists this ribosomal RNA (253 nucleotides) under uncultured bacterium. RNAcentral's name for it is "partial 16S ribosomal RNA". It matches the Rfam family "Bacterial small subunit ribosomal RNA", at positions 524 to 776 of the family's 1533-position model. The record is from RNAcentral.
GACAGAGGGUGCAAACGUUGUUCGGAAUUACUGGGCGUAAAGCGCGUGUAGGCUGCUCAGACAGUCGGAUGUGAAAGCCCUGGGCUUAACCUAGGAAGUGCAUUCGAAACUUCUGAGCUUGAGUUCUGGAGAGGAAGGCGGAAUUCUCGGUGUAGAGGUGAAAUUCGUAGAUAUCGAGAGGAACACCGGUGGCGAAGGCGGGUUGCUGGGCUGACACUGACGCUGAAGCGCGAAAGCUAGGGGAGCGAACGGG